This 1142-nucleotide long non-coding RNA is filed under the name Equus caballus (horse). Its description in RNAcentral is "lncRNA (ENSECAG00000053341.1)". Lineage: Eukaryota; Metazoa; Chordata; Mammalia; Perissodactyla; Equidae. The record is from RNAcentral.
GUUUAAGCUGAGUUCCAGUGUGGGACUUGCCGCCUGCUGGAUGGCAUUUAAAGCCAUGAUCAUUACGGAGAGGGUAGUGGGAGAGGAGAGGUUCCGGGAGUGACCCCUGGGCCUGCUCCAGUGUCGCAGGUUUGGGAGAAGAAUAGCCACCAGGGGAGACUGAGACGGAGUGGCCGGGGAGACGGAGAAAAACCAGGAGACCACGGGGUGAAGAAACGCCCGGAGCCAGAGGGAUGAAUGUGGUCAAAGCUGCUAUUCAAGUGAGGCGGGGCUGAGCGAAGGCUUCCACGGAGGCAGCAGAGUCCCGGUUUUCACUCACGACCAGCUUUGCGAGGCUCUGCCUGAGAGAGGUGGCCCCGCGCACGUCAGCUGUGGACGAGGGGGACACGUGCUCCAGCAUGGCCAUCCCGCUCCACCUUCUGCAUUCAUCGCAGGGGACGAGGGCUCAGUGCAGGCUGCAGCUGUCCCGGCAUCUCCUGAGCUCUGCCCUCCCUCUGGAUCCCCACUCCCUCAGGGCGGAGGCGGACAGCAGGCUGAAGGGAGAACUUCAGUCAGUGGGAAACUUCAUGGAGCAACAGCUGGCUGCCAGCUGUCCUCGCCUUGUCACAGUUCUGAUUACACCUUGCAGGUGAAGAAGAUGAGGCUCAGAGAAGUUAAGUACCACCCAAGGCCCCAAAGCUAUCUGACCUCUGCAGAAAUUGGACGGAUCCUGGAGGAAGACCGCAGACCGCCACGGCUUAACCAAGGGGGAGCCCUGCUCGCAGCUGCUGUGCCUGACGUGGAGUCCUUGCCGGAGCAGGUUCACGAGGCCUUAGGUAUGUGGCCAGCAGUAAUUCAGUGCCUGUGGUCUUUUCCAUUCCAAUUAGAAAAGAGGAUCAGAAACAGUUCACAUUCACAUGGGAUGGACAACAAUAUUCAUUUACACUUUUGCCUCGGGGCUAUGUUAACUGUCUCUCUGACUUAAUAUAAUCCCAAGAGAUCAGGACCAUGAUCCCACAGAACAUCACCCUGAUCCAUUGCAUCGCUGCGCCAUGCUGGUUAGACAGGAUGAGCAAGAGGUGUCCCUAUGCUGGAAGCCGCGGCUAAGUCACAUGCACUCCAGAGUGCGGCAUAUAAAACCUAUGACGAUUCAAAGACCUACC